CCGCCAACAGCUCUUCGCCCACUGCGCCUGCGCUCCCGCCGCCGCCCGCUCCCGUGCGGCGUGGACGUUCGCCCACCGCCCCCGUCACAGAAGGCUCAAGCACUAAGCAUGCGCUGCCUCCUCCGUCGAGAACAAAGCGCCGAAGGGAACUGAUGCGCAUGCCCAACCGUCGCCCGCUGUCGUCCGUGCGCACGCGCAACCUUCAGCCCGCGAAGACGCGCGCGCGAGACUCUCGUUGCGCACGCGUCGCGCUUAGCGGCGCCUUAUUAAGUCACAGCCCCGCCGAAAACAAAGUACCAAGGGACCUCAAUGCGCCUGCGCAGCCCUCUAACAAGAUGGAGUCCAGCCAGAAGUGGAGUCAUAGCUGCAAGAAGGGGCAGGGUCUUGCUGAACCCAGGCUCUGAGUCAGCUGUAUCCGGUGUUCCACCCCUUCUACAAAGAAGCAGAUCAAUGGGUCAUUCAUACCUUUCACUGGAGCUACCUGGAGCCCGGCCAGAUGAAUCAGUCUACUAAACCUGUUCUCCCUUCUGUGUGCCUGUUGCUCACCUCUACCUAUGUUCUCGGGCCUUCUUCCAAUUCCCUUCUACCUCCCUCCUCUCAUCCUGUUAGGAUGAAGCUUGAGAACUAUUUCCAUUCCCAGAAUACAUAGUAUGUUGUUUUUGUUGGGUAUUUGUCUGGCAUUGGGAACUGACAUCAUAAUAAGUCACCAAUGGCAGUAAGGUAUGUAAACACCCCAGGUCUGGCUCCACUCAUCUCACUGGAGUAACCCCCUGUGGAAUUCCAACGAGAUACACUAGAAUAAUGGAGAUCAGGAUCUGGGGCCUGAUCCGAAGCCCAGUGUAGUCAGCUGGAGUCAUUGAUGUCAGUGGGCUUUGGAUCAGGCCUCAGUCCCCUGAUCUUACCCCCUUACUCCAGCCAUCUAAACUUUCUCUUUGAAUCAGUGCUUUGGUAAAUGCCAAGGGAAGAAGCGAGACUGUUCAGCUUUCUCAGAGUUAUUAUUUCAGGCUGCCUGUAGACUCAUGCUUGGUUACAUUUGUCAUGUCUUCAAGGUUUCCUUUGCAACCAUAAGGGCUAGACGCAUUUUUUAAAAAUGAAAACUGGGAUUCAGGAGCACAAUUGUGCAUAAGAGGUGAUUUCCAUGGCAAACGCCACAGCUGUGGGAUACAUGAGGGCCAGUGUUAUGACCCCUUGUGCCACCCCAAAUCAUUUAUCCCCUCUAAUGUAUCUCUACAGUUCUUUUCAUGAACCGAAAGAAGCAGCAUGACAAGUCUAUUUGCCCUCUUUGUAUCCUGCUCUUUCCAGUGCUCUCCACCUUCCGUAAUUACUAGCUGCUGGCUUCUAGCACAAAUCAAACUUCUCCGCUCGGUGAACAACACAACCAUGCUUUUCUCCAGGGUUUAUGGUAACUCGUUUUUCCUUCUUCCUGGCACAAGUCCCUCAGAGCAGUGACUACUAUGUUAUCUUUGGUUUCUGUCUUGCAGUUGUUUUAUGUUGGCCAACAUGUGGUUUCAUGUUUUUAUCACAAGAUACGGAACUGACAGUCUCUUUCUGACCUGCCCUACAUUUCAGAUGCAACUCUGACAGGUACCGAUGCCUCAGAAAUAAUUUAGAGCAGCAGGUAAAGAUCAAUAUAUAUUUGAUUCAAAACAGAGUAGGGAAUGCCUAGCCCACCUGCCCUAUGGAAUCUCCUCUGAAGUGCACAUGGGGUCUCAGAGAACAUUAUGUAGGACAUGUGCUGUGAGAUGGGCCAGGAAUGAGAUAAUUUGAGUCAAUACUGAAGGAUGUAGUGUUCUAAACAGUCUUUAAGGUAUUGGCACUAGGCCUUUAAGAAUUGACUUAGUAUGUAAACCGUCCAUCAAGAACAUAACUUCCUGUUAUCUAGUAAGAUCUGCCAAGAUCCCUAAUCACCGAACAGAAUGGAAUUAAAUACACAACUUGUAUUGUAAGAAAGUGCAUGAUCUCUGCUGCUUUUCAUGAUAUGCCAAAGCAUGACUCUUAAGUGUGGCCCCUUCCUGGGUGGAACGUGGUUGCUGAGUAAAAUUGCACAGUAACAUCACUCAACAGUUCAGCACAGGAAGUGAGGACAAGCAGCAUCUUCCAUUGGAACUGCAAGGAGGAUUUAGAGAGGCAGAAUGUAAUUACUUAAAUUGGAAUUUGGCCAGGAACUUGGACCCUGUGUUUUCAGAGCCAGAGGUCCUGAACUCUCCUGCAGUCAACUUGCAGUCCUGCACAGUGAAAGUAAGUGGAUUACUUGACAACUGCGGAAUCUUUUAAAUGGUCGUGCUGCUGCCUGUGCUGUCCCUGUUGUGUAGAUAAUAAACAGGGGACUUUGUUCCC
Long non-coding RNA from Chelonoidis abingdonii (Abingdon island giant tortoise), 2337 nucleotides. RefSeq lists it as uncharacterized. Lineage: Eukaryota; Metazoa; Chordata; Testudines; Testudinidae. The record is from RefSeq and is a predicted model, not a curated record.